Molecule: ribosomal RNA, 253 nt
Filed under: uncultured bacterium
Lineage: Bacteria
Description: partial 16S ribosomal RNA
Rfam family: Bacterial small subunit ribosomal RNA
Source: RNAcentral
UACGUAGGGUGCAAGCGUUAAUCGGAAUUACUGGGCGUAAAGGGCGCGUAGGCGGCGACUCUAGUCAGAUGUGAAAGUCCUGGGCUUAACCUGGGGACUGCAUUUGAUACUGGGUUGCUUGAAUUCGGGAGAGGAUAGCGGAAUUCCCAGUGUAGAGGUGAAAUUCGUAGAUAUUGGGAAGAACACCGGUGGCGAAGGCGGCUAUCUGGACCGACAUUGACGCUGAGGCGCGAAAGCGUGGGGAGCAAACAGG